GAUGAACGCUGGCGGCGUGCCUAAUACAUGCAAGUCGAGCGAACAGAUAAGGAGCUUGCUCCUUUGACGUUAGCGGCGGACGGGUGAGUAACACGUGGGUAACCUACCUAUAAGACUGGGAUAACUUCGGGAAACCGGAGCUAAUACCGGAUAACAUUUGGAACCGCAUGGUUCUAAAGUGAAAGAUGGUUUUGCUAUCACUUAUAGAUGGACCCGCGCCGUAUUAGCUAGUUGGUAAGGUAACGGCUUACCAAGGCAACGAUACGUAGCCGACCUGAGAGAGUGAUCGGCCACACUGGAACUGAGACGCGGUCCAGACUCCUACGGGAGGCAGCAGUAGGGAAUCUUCCGCAAUGGGCGAAAGCCUGACGGAGCAACGCCGCGUGAGUGAUGAAGGGUUUCGGCUCGUAAAACUCUGUUAUUAGGGAAGAACAAACGUGUAAGUAACUGUGCACGUCUUGACGGUACCUAAUCAGAAAGCCACGGCUAACUACGUG
Molecule: ribosomal RNA, 497 nt
Filed under: uncultured bacterium
Lineage: Bacteria
Description: partial 16S ribosomal RNA
Rfam family: Bacterial small subunit ribosomal RNA
Source: RNAcentral